This 495-nucleotide ribosomal RNA is filed under the name uncultured bacterium. Its description in RNAcentral is "partial 16S ribosomal RNA". It matches the Rfam family "Bacterial small subunit ribosomal RNA", at positions 28 to 507 of the family's 1533-position model. The record is from RNAcentral.
GACGAACGCUGGCGGCGUGCCUAAUACAUGCAAGUAGAACGCUGAAGGAGGAGCUUGCUUCUCUGGAUGAGUUGCGAACGGGUGAGUAACGCGUAGGUAACCUGCCUGGUAGCGGGGGAUAACUAUUGGAAACGAUAGCUAAUACCGCAUAAGAGUAGAUGUUGCAUGACAUUUACUUAAAAGGUGCAAUUGCAUCACUACCAGAUGGACCUGCGUUGUAUUAGCUAGUUGGUGAGGUAACGGCUCACCAAGGCAACGAUACAUAGCCGACCUGAGAGGGUGAUCGGCCAAACUGGGACUGAGACACGGCCCAGACUCCUACGGGAGGCAGCAGUAGGGAAUCUUCGGCAAUGGACGGAAGUCUGACCGAGCAACGCCGCGUGAGUGAAGAAGGUUUUCGGAUCGUAAAGCUCGGUUGUAAGAGAAGAACGAGUGUGAGAGUGGAAAGUUCACACUGUGACGGUAGCUUACCAGAAAGGGACGGCUAACUACGUG